RNAcentral lists this transfer RNA (129 nucleotides) under Strongyloides ratti. It matches the Rfam family "tRNA". Rfam says of the family: Transfer RNA (tRNA) molecules are approximately 80 nucleotides in length. Their secondary structure includes four short double-helical elements and three loops (D, anti-codon, and T loops). Lineage: Eukaryota; Metazoa; Nematoda; Chromadorea; Rhabditida; Strongyloididae. The record is from Rfam by way of RNAcentral.
GGCGAAAUGGCCGAGUGGUCUAAGGCGUCAGACUCAAGUUGUCUUAUAACUUAUACACAGUAUGUGUAAAAGGCCUAAGGGUUUUCUGAUCUCGUUAUCGAGGCGUGGGUUCGAAUCCCACUUUCGUCA